UACGUAGGUGGCGAGCGUUGUCCGGAAUUACUGGGCGUAAAGGGUGCGUAGGCGGGAUAAUAAGUUAGAUGUGAAAGCCCCAGGCUUAACCUGGGGACUGCAUUUAAAACUGUUAUUCUAGAGUGCAGGAGAGGUAAGUGGAAUUCCUAGUGUAGCGGUGAAAUGCGUAGAUAUUAGGAAGAACAUCAGUGGCGAAGGCGGCUUACUGGACUGUAACUGACGCUGAGGCACGAAAGCGUGGGGAGCAAAC
This 250-nucleotide ribosomal RNA is filed under the name uncultured bacterium. RNAcentral's name for it is "partial 16S ribosomal RNA". It matches the Rfam family "Bacterial small subunit ribosomal RNA", at positions 524 to 773 of the family's 1533-position model. The record is from RNAcentral.